Molecule: ribosomal RNA, 372 nt
Filed under: uncultured organism
Description: bacterial SSU rRNA
Rfam family: Bacterial small subunit ribosomal RNA
Source: RNAcentral
CGUAGGGGGCGAGCGUUGUCCGGAAUCAUUGGGCGUAAAGCGCGUGUAGGCGGCUCAAUAAGUCUGGUGUGAAAACUGGAGGCUCAACCUCCAGCUGUCAUUGGAUACUGUUGGGCUAGAGUCCGGAAGAGGAGAGUGGAAUUCCUGGUGUAGCGGUGGAAUGCGCAGAUAUCAGGAGGAACACCAAUGGCGAAGGCAGCUCUCUGGUACGUGACUGACGCUGAGACGCGAAAGCGUGGGGAGCGAACAGGAUUAGAUACCCUGGUAGUCCACGCCGUAAACGAUGGAUGCUAGGUGUGGGUGGUGUCGACUCCAUCCGUGCCGCAGCUAACGCAUUAAGCAUCCCGCCUGGGGAGUACGGCCGCAAGGCUA